This 213-nucleotide long non-coding RNA is filed under the name Carica papaya (papaya). RNAcentral's name for it is "long non-coding RNA (CPAP_LNC004492)". Lineage: Eukaryota; Viridiplantae; Streptophyta; Magnoliopsida; Brassicales; Caricaceae. The record is from RNAcentral.
UUCAUCCUGAGAGUAUCAAAAUGUAUCGGGACUUGAAAUGACAAUAUUGGUGGCCAAGAAUGAAGAAGGAUAUAGUUGACUACGUCUCACGAGGCCUCAUUUAUCAAUGGUAAAGGGAAAACAUAAAAAACAUGGUGGCUUGCUAUAGGGUCUUCCAAUUCUCGAAUAGAAAUGGGAACAUGUGACUAUGGACUUUGUCACUGGUUUGUCCAG